This 495-nucleotide ribosomal RNA is filed under the name uncultured bacterium. RNAcentral's name for it is "partial 16S ribosomal RNA". It matches the Rfam family "Bacterial small subunit ribosomal RNA", at positions 28 to 507 of the family's 1533-position model. The record is from RNAcentral.
GAUGAACGCUGGCGGCGUGCCUAAUACAUGCAAGUAGAACGCUGAAGGAGUAGCUUUCUCUUCUGGAUGAGUUGCGAACGGGUGAGUAACGCGUAGGUAACCUGCCUUGUAGCGGGGGAUAACUAUUGGAAACUAUAGCUAAUACCGCAUGACAACAGUUAUUGCAUGAUAACUGUUUAAAAGGGGCAACUGCUCCACUACCACAUGCACCUGCGUUGUAUUAGCUAGUUGGUGAGGUAUCGGCUCACCAAGGCGGCGAGACAUAGCGGACCGGCGACGGUGAUCGGCCACACUGGGACUGAGACAGGGCCCAGAGUCCUACGGGAAGGAGCAGGAGGGAAACGUGAGCAAGGGACGGAAAUAGGAGCGAACAACGCCGAGGGAGGGAAGAAGGUUUUCGGAUCGUAAAGCACUGUUGUAAGAGAAGAACGAGUGUGAGAGUGGAAAGUUCAGACAGUGACGGUAUCUGACAAAAAAGGGACGGCUAACUACGUG